GAUGAACGCUGGCGGCGUGCCUAAUACAUGCAAGUCGAGCGAACAGACGAGGAGCUUGCUCCUCUGACGUUAGCGGCGGACGGGUGAGUAACACGUGGCUACCCUACCUAUAAGACUGGGAUCACUUCGGGAAACCGGAGCUAAUACCGGAUAAUAUAUUGAACCGCAUGGUUCAUUAGUGAAAGACGGUUUUGAUGUCACUUGUAGAUGUAUCCGCGCCGCAUUAGCUAGUUGGUAAGGUAACGGCUUACCAAGGCGACGAUGCGUAGCCGACCUGAGAGGGUGAUCAGCCACACUGGAACUGAGACACGGUCCAGACUCCUACGGGAGGCAGCAGUAGGGAAUCUUCCGCAAUGGGCGAAAGCCUGACGGAGCAACGCCGCGUGAGUUAUGAAGGUCUUCGGAUCGUAAAACUCUGUUAUUAGGGAAGAACAAAUGUGUAAGUAACUAUGCACGUCUUGACGGUACCUAAUCAGAAAGCCACGGCUAACUACGUG
This 497-nucleotide ribosomal RNA is filed under the name uncultured bacterium. Its description in RNAcentral is "partial 16S ribosomal RNA". It matches the Rfam family "Bacterial small subunit ribosomal RNA", at positions 28 to 507 of the family's 1533-position model. The record is from RNAcentral.